This 119-nucleotide ribosomal RNA is filed under the name Saccharolobus sp. A20. Lineage: Archaea; Thermoproteati; Thermoproteota; Thermoprotei; Sulfolobales; Sulfolobaceae. RNAcentral also lists the same sequence under 5 other names. The record is from RNAcentral.
CCACCCGGCCAUAGUGGGCGGGAAACACCCGGACUCGUUUCGAACCCGGAAGUUAAGCCGCCCACGUUAGGAGGGCAGUGGACACCGAGAGGGUCCGCAGCCCUCCUAAGCUGGGAUGG